UGGUUGUUGUGGGAGCACAUUUUCUACUGCGUUGUCUUGAUCUUGAGCGAUUUGUGCUCUAUGUUGUGAAGGAAUUUGAGCCAUUAAUACAAAAGCCCUAUACAAUAGUGUACUUCCACUCAGCAGCAUCUUUGCAGCCUCGGCCAGACAUGGGAUGGAUGAAGAGAUUGCAGCAGAUUCUUGGCCGAAAACACCAGCGUAACCUCCAUGCAAUAUACGUUCUUCACCCAACCUUUGGAUUGAAAGCUGCAGUAAUGGCCAUGCAAUUGCUCGUGGAUAAUACGGUAUGGAACAAAGUUGUGUACAUUGAUCG
RNAcentral lists this unclassified non-coding RNA (313 nucleotides) under Hevea brasiliensis (rubber tree). The record is from RNAcentral. Lineage: Eukaryota; Viridiplantae; Streptophyta; Magnoliopsida; Malpighiales; Euphorbiaceae.